CCUACGGGUGGCAGCAGUGAGGAAUAUUGGUCAAUGGACGAAAGUCUGAACCAGCCAAGUCGCGUGAAGGAUGAAUGCCCUAUGGGUUGUAAACUUCUUUUAUAAGGGAAUAAAACGCGGCACGUGUGCCUUUUUGCAUGUACUUUAUGAAUAAGGAUCGGCUAACUCCGUGCCAGCAGCCGCGGUAAUACGGAGGAUCCGAGCGUUUUCCGGAUUUAUUGGGGUUAAAGGGAGCGUAGAUGGGUUGUUAAGUCAGUUGUGAAAGGUUGCGGCUCAACCGUAAAAUGGCCAUUGAUACUGGCAGUCUUGAGUACAGGUGAGGUAAGCGGAAUGCGUGGUGUAGCGGUGAAAUGCUUAGAUAUCACGAAGAACCCCGAUUGCGAAGGCAGCUUACUAACCUGUGACUGACAGUGAGGCUCGAAAGUGUGGGUAUCAAACAGGAUUAGAUACCCGAGUAGUC
RNAcentral lists this ribosomal RNA (460 nucleotides) under uncultured bacterium. Its description in RNAcentral is "partial 16S ribosomal RNA". It matches the Rfam family "Bacterial small subunit ribosomal RNA", at positions 338 to 795 of the family's 1533-position model. The record is from RNAcentral.